Molecule: ribosomal RNA, 543 nt
Filed under: uncultured archaeon
Lineage: Archaea
Description: bacterial SSU rRNA
Rfam family: Archaeal small subunit ribosomal RNA
Source: RNAcentral
GCCAGCAGCCGCGGUAACACCGGCGGCCCGAGUGGUGAUCGUGAUUAUUGGGUCUAAAGGGUCCGUAGCCGGUUUGGUCAGUCCUCCGGGAAAUCUGAUAGCUCAACUAUUAGGCUUUCGGGGGAUACUGCCAGACUUGGAACCGGGAGAGGUAAGAGGUACUACAGGGGUAGGAGUGAAAUCUUGUAAUCCCUGUGGGACCACCUGUGGCGAAGGCGUCUUACCAGAACGGGUUCGACGGUGAGGGACGAAAGCUGGGGGCACGAACCGGAUUAGAUACCCGGGUAGUCCCAGCCGUAAACGAUGCUCGCUAGGUGUCAGGCAUGGCGCGACCGUGUCUGGUGCCGCAGGGAAGCCGUGAAGCGAGCCACCUGGGAAGUACGGCCGCAAGGCUGAAACUUAAAGGAAUUGGCGGGGGAGCACAACAACGGGUGGAGCCUGCGGUUUAAUUGGACUCAACGCCGGACAACUCACCGGGGGCGACAGCAAUAUGUAGGCCAAGCUGAAGACUUUGCCUGAAUCGCUGAGAGGAGAGGUGCAUGG